AUACGAAGGGGGCUAGCGUUGUUCGGAAUUACUGGGCGUAAAGCGCGCGUCGGCGGAUUGGUCAGUUAGGGGUGAAAUCCCAGGGCUUAACCCUGGAACUGCCUCUAAUACUGCCAGUCUUGAGUUCGGGAGAGGUGAGUGGAAUUCCUAGUGUAGAGGUGAAAUUCGUAGAUAUUAGGAAGAACACCAGUGGCGAAGGCGGCUCACUGGCCCGAUACUGACGCUGAGGCGCGAAAGCGUGGGGAGCAAACAGGAUUAGAAACCCUAGUAGUCC
RNAcentral lists this ribosomal RNA (274 nucleotides) under uncultured bacterium. Its description in RNAcentral is "partial 16S ribosomal RNA". It matches the Rfam family "Bacterial small subunit ribosomal RNA", at positions 523 to 796 of the family's 1533-position model. The record is from RNAcentral.